UUGCCUCAGUAACGGCGAGUGAAGCGGCAAAAGCUCAAAUUUGAAAUCUGGUACCUGCGGUGCCCGAGUUGUAAUUUGAAGAUAGUUUUCUGGUUUCGGCCCCUGUCUAUGUUCCUUGGAACAGGACGUCACAGAGGGUGAGAAUCCCGUCUGGCGGGGUGUCCGAUUCCGUGUAGAUUUCUAUCGACGAGUCGAGUUGUUUGGGAAUGCAGCUCUAAGUGGGUGGUAAAUUCCAUCUAAAGCUAAAUAUUGGCGAGAGACCGAUAGCGAACAAGUACAGUGAUGGAAAGAUGAAAAGAACUUUGAAAAGAGAGUGAAAAAGUACGUGAAAUUGUUGAAAGGGAAGGGUAUUAGAUCAGACUUGGUGUUUAGUGAUUAUCUUCCCCUCGUGGGUUGUGCACUCGCUCUUCACUGGGCCAGCAUCGGUUCGGGUGGCAGGAUAAUGGCAUGGGAACGUGGCACCGUCUUCGGGCGGUGUGUUAUAUCCCACGCUGAUGCUGCCUGCCUGGACCGAGGACUGCGGCUUCUGCCUAGGAUGCUGGCGUAAUGAUCUAAUACCGCCCGUCUUGAAACACGGACCAAGGAGUCUAACGUCUAUGCGAGUGUUUGGGUGUAAAACCCGUACGCGUAAUGAAAGUGAACGUAGGUGAGAGCUCGCAAGAGCGCAUCAUCGACCGAUCCUGAUGUCUUCGGA
This 694-nucleotide ribosomal RNA is filed under the name Williopsis lachancei. RNAcentral's name for it is "LSU rRNA". It matches the Rfam family "Eukaryotic large subunit ribosomal RNA", at positions 75 to 784 of the family's 3401-position model. The record is from RNAcentral. Lineage: Eukaryota; Fungi; Ascomycota; Saccharomycetes; Phaffomycetales; Wickerhamomycetaceae.